AUCUGAUGUUGCCUCUAAAAGGCCUUAGGGAUGAGCUCACUCCUUGCUCAUUCUUGUCUUUUUCCUUUCUUGGAAGAUUGAUGAUGCAUUGUAUAUGGGUUGUCAUCCUUGGAGCUUGUGGAGGCCGAAAAUCGAGAAGGAUGGGAAUGAGGGAAACACUUAGAUUUAGUUGCUCUAUUUGGCUAGUAUCCGAAUAUUGUAGUUUGGCAUCUUUGAAAUGCUAAGUUGUAGCUUCCACUUUUGUAUUUUCCACAUGUAACUAUUAUUUAGCAAAAUCUCACACCUCUCAAUAAGAUUGUGUAGUCCUUUUCCA
This is a non-coding RNA of Salvia hispanica, 313 nucleotides long. NCBI's taxonomy places the organism in Eukaryota, Viridiplantae, Streptophyta, Magnoliopsida, Lamiales, Lamiaceae. The record is from RefSeq and is a predicted model, not a curated record.